Molecule: non-coding RNA, 2150 nt
Organism: Peromyscus maniculatus bairdii (prairie deer mouse)
Lineage: Eukaryota; Metazoa; Chordata; Mammalia; Rodentia; Cricetidae
Source: RefSeq, a predicted model, not a curated record
CUCAGGUCAUCAGGCUUGGCGCUAGACGCCCUUACCCUCUGAGCCAUCCCACUGACCCGCCAGGACCGUAAGAGGCACGACUGCUACUGGCUGCUUGGGCCGCCUGCGCCCUCUAGUGAGAAUGUCCAUUACUCAGUGGAAAGAACACGUUUUCCGUGGUUACAGACUCACAAGUGACAAGUCAUGGAGAUGAAAUGCAUGAGAACAAAACACGGAAAGUGGUCACGUGGCAAACUAUCACUUACUCUUCAGUGAUGUCCCUGAGUGUUCCCACAGUCUGUAACACUACCGUGAGAAGGGCUGAAAACACCCUAACACUUCCCGGAAUGUCACAAGCAACAGAGCUGCUGCUUGGGCUGCGUUCCUAGAAAGCCAGCUGACUGACUACCUCUAAAGCCAGCGGGCUCUCCCACCCGGUGACCUCCAAACAACUCCAGGGACUGUCACUCAGUGACUUCAAAAGAGGAUCCUGUAAAGUAGCCUAGAUAGGUAUGACAUUAUGAACUCUGCCCAGGGCAUCAUGCACAAGGUCUGCAGUCAUCUCAGUUCCUGACAGCUUGUUCCUCCCUCUUGGAAUCUAUGUCAACUAGAGAUAAUGAAGGACUGGAGUAACAGUAACAGCAUCACUUGGUGUAACAUUGCUUCCUCUGUCUAACUUGGAGGAAACCACUCACUAAUGUAGUUAUAAAGCUUGCCUAAUUGUUAUUAGUGGGGAGAUUAGAAUGGAUUCAAGCUUUCCCCCAUUGUUUGGGGAUUAACAGGACUUUCUGGGAGUGUCAGAAAGCAGGUGAGAGCAUAGCAUUGGAAGGAGUUUAAUGGGCUGCAUAAUCCGGUGAGCAUAAUCAAAAUGUCUUAACCAAAACACCAACAAAUGGGAAAGCAUUCAGUAAGAGUUUGGGAUUGGCUCAAGACUGAAUCUGUCCUUUUUGCCACCACAAACUGAUUUCAGAACAGGUUUUAGUUUCACCCUUGAAUAAUGCUCACAUGAUGAGUAUAAGGAGAUCCGGCUCAGGCUUCUUACAGAGGGAAAGCUUGGCACUCCCUCCACACACCAGACAUAUUCACUGUGGAUCUUGUGGUCAUGUGCAGACUCAGAAACCCUGGCUGACAGGCUGCCGUAGGCUGCCAUAGGCUGAACAGACCCACAUCAGACAUGGGAUGAUCAUUUCUACUCAUCUACAGAAAGGUUCUGAGUAAGCCUGGAGAAUUCUACACAACUUUCCAAAUUAAAAAAGUGUUUUCCAUAAAAUUACUAGUCAUUCGGACAGGCGGCCUAGCUCAUAGGAUUUCCUGGCUGCCACAGAACACUAAGACAAAGGCCACCAAUAGGAAGUCCACCAAUAUGCCACAGAAUGCUAAGACAAAGGCCACCAAUAGGAAUGUCCACGAAUAUGCCAACAUUAUGGUGGCAAGGAAGACUGCAUUGCAUGUCCCACUGUGAAGCCUGAGUCAUGGGCCCCGGAAGUCAUUGCUACACACCUGACACGGGCGCUCUGCUAGGCGCUCUGCUCUGUGAAGGCUUCUGUCUAGUGUGCACAACCCCCUUCACUGAUGUCUUAGGGGCUCUAAUUGAAUAUAAAAAGGUUAAUGAGUCACGUGCAUGAAGGUCUGAACUUCAGAGAAAACAAGCACACAGCAUCAACCACUCAAGGCGUAAGUGAGUUUGAGAAGAACUGAAGGCCCCGCGUGCAGCAAUCAGACGAGCUGCACUUGAGUUUCUGCAGGAGCCAAGCCAACUCUUCACACCUGCUUGGAGAAUCGCCGGAUGAGGCUAAACUUACUUGAUGAGUAAGCGUAUACUAAAACAGAUAAUGAGUAAAAUGGUAUGAAAUGAGAAAGGAAAGCAUGCCAACAUCAGAUGAAAACCAAGAGCUGUUACACAGCCGUGCAGCAAGAGGGCGGUCUGCACACAAAAUCAGAUCUCGAUGCUACGCACUACAGCACAUACAGUAGGAGAGCUGGUUCCGAAGAGAACACAGAAUUAUUUUUCCGUCUCAAGAACUGAUCUGGGCUUGAGCAUUUUCCAAUCCCCAUGUGUGGCAUUCUUACCCUUGUCUACUAAGGAGCCUAUGAACAGGUGCAUUCUGUCCUUGGUUUGGCUGAAGGACUCUGUUGACAAAUUAAAUGCAAAAUUAAUUCCAAAAGACAAA